CCUACGGGAGGCAGCAGUGAGGAAUAUUGGUCAAUGGGAGAGAUCCUGAACCAGCCAAGCCGCGUGAGGGAAGACGGCCCUAUGGGUUGUAAACCUCUUUUGUCGGAGAACAAAACCCGGGACGUGUCCCGGACUGCGUGUAUCCGAAGAAAAAGCAUCGGCUAACUCCGUGCCAGCAGCCGCGGUAAUACGGAGGAUGCAAGCGUUAUCCGGAUUUAUUGGGUUUAAAGGGUGCGUAGGCGUUCCGUUAAGUCAGCGGUAAAAUUGCGGGGCUCAACCCCGUCGAGCCGUUGAAACUGGCAGACUUGAGUUGGCGAGAAGUACGCGGAAUGCGCGGUGUAGCGGUGAAAUGCAUAGAGAGCGCGCAGAACUCCGAUUGCGAAGGCAGCGUACCGGCGCCAGACUGACGCUGAGGCACGAAAGCGUGGGGAGCGAACAGGAUUAGAUACCCGUGUAGUC
This 459-nucleotide ribosomal RNA is filed under the name uncultured bacterium. RNAcentral describes it as "partial 16S ribosomal RNA". It matches the Rfam family "Bacterial small subunit ribosomal RNA", at positions 338 to 795 of the family's 1533-position model. The record is from RNAcentral.